This 715-nucleotide ribosomal RNA is filed under the name uncultured bacterium. RNAcentral's name for it is "bacterial SSU rRNA". It matches the Rfam family "Bacterial small subunit ribosomal RNA", at positions 120 to 845 of the family's 1533-position model. The record is from RNAcentral.
AGCAAUCUGCCGGGGAGUGGGGGAUAGCUCGCCGAAAGGCGAAUUAAUACCGCAUGUGGCCAGGAAGGACACCCUUCCAAAGCCAAAGUCGCAAGACGCUUCCUGAUGAGCUCGCGGCCUAUCAGCUAGUUGGCGGGGUAACGGCCCACCAAGGCUCUGACGGGUAGCUGGUCUGAGAGGACGACCAGCCACACUGGAACUGAGACACGGUCCAGACACCUACGGGUGGCAGCAGUCGAGAAUUUUUCACAAUGGGGGAAACCCUGAUGGAGCGACGCCGCGUGGAGGACGAAGGCCUUCGGGUUGUAGACUCCUGUCAUGCGGGAACAAGACAGUGAUAGUACCGCAAGAGGAAGAGACGGCUAACUCUGUGCCAGCAGCCGCGGUAAUACAGAGGUCUCAAGCGUUGUUCGGAUUCAUUGGGCGUAAAGGGUGCGUAGGUGGCGGCGCAAGUCUGGUGUGAAAUCUCGGGGCUCAACCUCGAAAUGGCACCGGAUACUGCGUCGCUCGAGGACUGUAGAGGAGAGAGGAAUUCACGGUGUAGCAGUGAAAUGCGUAGAGAUCGUGAGGAAGACCAGUUGCGAAGGCGUCUCUCUGGGCAGCUCCUGACACUAAAGGCACAAAGGCCAGGGGAGCAAACGGGAUUAGAUACCCCGGUAGUCCUGGCAGUAAACGGUGCGCGCUUGGUGUGGGCGGGUUUCAGACCCCGUCCGUG